RNAcentral lists this ribosomal RNA (222 nucleotides) under Salmonella enterica subsp. enterica serovar Heidelberg. Its description in RNAcentral is "partial 23S ribosomal RNA". It matches the Rfam family "Bacterial large subunit ribosomal RNA", at positions 1 to 214 of the family's 2925-position model. RNAcentral also lists the same sequence under 4 other names. The record is from RNAcentral. Lineage: Bacteria; Pseudomonadati; Pseudomonadota; Gammaproteobacteria; Enterobacterales; Enterobacteriaceae.
GGGUUGUGAGGUUAAGCGACUAAGCGUACACGGUGGAUGCCCUGGCAGUCAGAGGCGAUGAAGGGCGUGCUAAUCUGCGAUAAGCGCCGGUAAGGUGAUAUGAACCGUUAUAACCGGCGAUACCCGAAUGGGGAAACCCAGUGUGACUCGUCACACUAUCAUUAACUGAAUCCAUAGGUUAAUGAGGCGAACCGGGGGAACUGAAACAUCUAAGUACCCCGA